UACGUAGGGAGCGAGCGUUAUCCGGAUUUAUUGGGUGUAAAGGGUGCGUAGGCGGCUUUGUAAGUCUGUGGUCUAAGCCCGAAGCUUAACUUCGGUUCGCUACAGAAACUGCAUGGCUAGAGUACGGUAGAGGCAAAUGGAAUUUCUAGUGUAGCGGUUAAAUGCGUAGAUAUUAGAAGGAACAUCAGUGGCGAAGGCGAUUUGCUGGGCCGUAACUGACGCUGAGGCACGAAAGCGUGGGGAGCAAAUA
Molecule: ribosomal RNA, 250 nt
Filed under: uncultured prokaryote
Description: partial 16S ribosomal RNA
Rfam family: Bacterial small subunit ribosomal RNA
Source: RNAcentral